AAAAGUUAAAAGGAGCUGGUAUCAGGCACACCCCAGGUAGCCCAUUACACCUUGCUUAACCACACCCCUACGGGAUACAGCAGUGACUAACAUUAAGCUAUAAACGAAAGUUUGACUGAGUCAUAAUUUAACAGGGUUGGUAAAUUUCGUGCCAGCCACCGCGGUCAUACGAUUAACCCAAAUUAACAGAUCACCGGCGUAAAGCGUGUUUAAGUAUAAUACUCUAAUAAAGUUAAAACCUGACUAAGCUGUAAAACGUUAUAGUUAAUACCAAAAUAUGCAACUAAAGUGACUUUAAUCUGCACUGAACACACGAUAGCUAAGGCACAAACUGGGAUUAGAUACCCCACUAUGCUUAGCCCUAAACCCAAAUAGUUAAAAAACAAAACUAUUCGCCAGGGAACUACUAGCUAAUGCUUAAAACUCAAAGGACUUGGCGGUGCCCUAAACCCACCUAGAGGAGCCUGUUCUAUAAUCGAUAAACCCCGAUAAACCCCACCUCUUCUUGCCAAUACAGCCUAUAUACCGCCAUCGUCAGCUCACCCCAAUAGGGAUCCAAAGUAGGCAAAACUAUAAAACCAUAAAAACGUUAGGUCAAGGUGUAGCAUAUGAAGAGGGAAGCAAUGGGCUACAUUUUCUAAACUAGAACAUAACGAACGGCCUUAUGAAAUUUAAGACCUGAAGGAGGAUUUAGUAGUAAAUUAGGAAUAGAGAGCCUAAUUGAAAUAGGC
RNAcentral lists this ribosomal RNA (731 nucleotides) under Dromiciops bozinovici (Panchoss monito del monte). RNAcentral describes it as "partial small subunit ribosomal RNA". It matches the Rfam family "Bacterial small subunit ribosomal RNA", at positions 275 to 1372 of the family's 1533-position model. The record is from RNAcentral. Lineage: Eukaryota; Metazoa; Chordata; Mammalia; Microbiotheria; Microbiotheriidae.